AGGAAAGCAGGGGAUCGCAAGACCUUGCGCUUUUGGAGCGGCCGAUGUCUGAUUAGCUAGUUGGUGAGGUAAAGGCUUACCAAGGCUUCGAUCAGUAGCUGGUCUGAGAGGACGACCAGCCACACUGGGACUGAGACACGGCCCAGACUCCUACGGGAGGCAGCAGUGGGGAAUUUUGGACAAUGGGGGAAACCCUGAUCCAGCCAUGCCGCGUGAGUGAAGAAGGCCUUCGGGUUGUAAAGCUCUUUCAGCCGGAACGAAACGGUCACGGCUAAUACCUGUGAUCACUGACGGUACCGGAAGAAGAAGCACCGGCUAACUACGUGCCAGCAGCCGCGGUAAUGCGUAGGGUGCGAGCGUUAAUCGGAAUUACUGGGCGUAAAGCGUGCGCAGGCGGUUUUGUAAGUCAGAUGUGAAUCCCCGGGCUCAACCUGGGAACUGCGUUUGAACUACAAAGCU
This 459-nucleotide ribosomal RNA is filed under the name uncultured beta proteobacterium. RNAcentral's name for it is "bacterial SSU rRNA". It matches the Rfam family "Bacterial small subunit ribosomal RNA", at positions 200 to 642 of the family's 1533-position model. The record is from RNAcentral. Lineage: Bacteria; Pseudomonadati; Pseudomonadota; Betaproteobacteria.